RNAcentral lists this transfer RNA (57 nucleotides) under Citrobacter portucalensis. RNAcentral describes it as "tRNA-Ser". Lineage: Bacteria; Pseudomonadati; Pseudomonadota; Gammaproteobacteria; Enterobacterales; Enterobacteriaceae. The record is from RNAcentral.
GCGAAGGUGGCGGAAUUGGCUUAGGAUGUGGGGGUUCGAGUCCCCCCCCUCGCACCA